This 460-nucleotide ribosomal RNA is filed under the name uncultured bacterium. RNAcentral's name for it is "partial 16S ribosomal RNA". It matches the Rfam family "Bacterial small subunit ribosomal RNA", at positions 338 to 795 of the family's 1533-position model. The record is from RNAcentral.
CCUACGGGAGGCAGCAGUGAGGAAUAUUGGUCAAUGGACGAGAGUCUGAACCAGCCACGUAGCGUGAAGGAUGACUGCCCUAGGGGUUGUAAACUUCUUUUAUAUGGGAAUAAAAUGUUCCACGUGUGGGAUUUUGUAUGUACCAUAUGAAUAAGGAUCGGCUAACUCCGUGCCAGCAGCCGCGGUAAUACGGAGGAUCCGAGCGUUAUCCGGAUUUAUUGGGUUUAAAGGGAGCGUAGGUGGAUUGUUAAGUCAGUUGUGAAAGUUUGCGGCUCAACCGUAAAAUUGCAGUUGAAACUGGCAGUCUUGAGUACAGUAGAGGUGGGCGGAAUUCGUGGUGUAGCGGUGAAAUGCUUAGAUAUCACGAAGAAUUCCGAUUGCGAAGGCAGUUCACUGGACUGCAACUGACACUGAGGCUCGAAAGUGUGGGUAUCAAACAGGAUUAGAUACCCUAGUAGUC